This 26-nucleotide non-coding RNA is filed under the name Mus musculus (house mouse). Lineage: Eukaryota; Metazoa; Chordata; Mammalia; Rodentia; Muridae. The record is from RNAcentral.
UAGGGGAUGAAUUAAAGAUGAGGAGC